UCACACCGCCNGUCGCUACUACCGAUUGAAUGGCUCAGUGAGGCUUCCGGACUGGCUCGGGGAGGUCGGCAACGACCACCCUGGGCCGGAAAGCUAUCCAAACUCGGUCAUUUAGAGGAAGUAAAAGUCGUAACAAGGUCUCCGUUGGUGAACCAGCGGAGGGAUCAUUACUGUGGCCUGCGCUCCGCGCUCGCUCAACCCUCCUGUGGAAAUUUUAAAACGUUUGCCUCGGCGGGCCAGGCCCGCCGCCGGCACCAAAACAACUCUUGCACACUGAAUUCUGAGUGGGCGUAGACCUAAUAAGUCAAAACUUUCAGCAACGGAUCUCUUGGCUCUGGCAUCGAUGAAGAACGCAGCGAAAUGCGAUAAUUAGUGGGAAUUGCAGAACUCAGUGAAUCAUCGAAUCUUUGAACGCACAUUGCGCCCGCCGGCAUCCCGGCGGGCAUGCCUGUCCGAGCGUCAUAUCAACCCCUCGGGCCACCUGUCCACCAUCCGUGGACGGGGUCGGCCCGGCGUUGGGGCACCGCGGGCUGGUUUCCUCCAGCCCGCAGGGCCCCCAAAUCCAGCGGCGGACGCCUCCUGGCCACCCAGCGCAGUAUAAUCGCUAUCGCUGAGGUGCACGGGGGGCUGCCCUGCCUACCGCCUAGCGGCACACACAACGUUUGACCUCGGAUCAGGUAGGACUACCCGCUG
RNAcentral lists this ribosomal RNA (693 nucleotides) under Lulworthia atlantica. RNAcentral describes it as "eukaryotic LSU rRNA". The stretch from base 309 to 462 matches the Rfam family "5.8S ribosomal RNA". Lineage: Eukaryota; Fungi; Ascomycota; Sordariomycetes; Lulworthiales; Lulworthiaceae. The record is from RNAcentral.